GCCUGGGUAGCUCAGUCGGUUGAGUGUCCGACUUUGGCUCGGGUCAUGAUCUCACGGGUGGUGGGUUCGAGCCCCGUGUUGGGCU
This 85-nucleotide transfer RNA is filed under the name Felis catus (domestic cat). It matches the Rfam family "tRNA". From Rfam's summary of the family: Transfer RNA (tRNA) molecules are approximately 80 nucleotides in length. The record is from Rfam by way of RNAcentral. Lineage: Eukaryota; Metazoa; Chordata; Mammalia; Carnivora; Felidae.